UGCCUCAAUACUGAAUUGACGGUGGUGAUGCUCCUUUGCGGUUGCGGCUGAAACAGGUGGCGGAUGUAGAGCAAUUGCAGAGGCGCAGAUGGUCAUCUCCGCCAUGGCAGUUACCGGAUUUCACCUUGUCGCAUUUUCCUCCUCUCCCAAUGCUUUAUUCCCCCCACAGUCUCCAAUUUCAUCGAAAGAUGAUCAUCAUCAGCAGAAACAAGAGCAGAAACAGCUUCAGAGCUCUCUGUUUGGAUUCAAAACCUAUCGCAGAGACGCAGCUUUGCUCUCGUUCCUUGCUCUCAUUCCUGGUCUACAUCGUUCAUCCCCUGCAACUGCAUUGACAUUUGGCAUCUCUGGACCGAAGGAUUGGCUGAAAGGGCAAAAGAGGAAGGCUUCCAAGUUUCUCUUGGCACCUGUUGACGCCUCUCGUGAAAGCCUGCGCACUGCCUAUCUCUUAUUCACGGCGAGUGGUUCUAAUGAUCCGAACAAGGAUUUGGAAGAAGUUCAGAGGCUGCUUAAAUCUGCUGCUAGGGAUUGUGUUCCGCAAGAGAGGAAUUCUUUCGUUGCAUUUCAAGCUACUACAGGAGUGGAGGUUUGCACUUUCCGGUUAAUUUUGAAGAAUGCAGCUUCAUUACUUGAUGAUAAGGAUCCUGUAAAGUUGGAAGCUGAAGCUAUGCUAAAUGAUCUUAUAAGUUCUUUUACCUCCCUUGAUGAUGUGACCAAUGAAACUGAUAUGGAAUUUGCUUCUAAGAGACAAAAGGUGGCAGAUGCACUCAUGGACACCAUAUCUUCCCUUAAUAAAUUCGAGCAGGGUAUCAAGGACUGCCUUGAAGUUUGAUUUGUUAUGGCCUUCUUCCAGGACAAAAACAUUUGUGGAUAUUAUGCUUGAAUAUUUUUUCACAUGCUCUUAUCCAAAGGGUUCUUGAAGACAGUGGGAAUAGGAUGCACUCAAAAGUAGAUCCCACCAUUAUGUUGUGCAAUUUCUGUGGUGCUCAAUUUUUUUACUCGUCUUAAUGAGACAAUGUGCUUGUGCUGCAUUGUGCCAGUUGCACUGUCACGUAUUCUUCCAUCUUACAUCUGACUGCAUUUCAGGCAUGGUUAAAGAAAGGUACAACUGUGAAUACCUGAUAUUGUGCUCAUGGAUGUCAUUUUUAGUUCCUCAUUCUCCUAGAUGUCCUGGACUACCCGGUUGGCAAAUGCAAAAUUAUAAGUUUGUAUGCUUUGGUUUAUGUCUCUUAAAAGCUAGAAUGUGCUACAACAGAGCGAAACAGAUUUGGUUGGAAGUUGUAGAUAGCUUCUACUAUUGUCUUCCAGAACUCCAUGCAGUUAUUGAUUAUUAGAUUAACUUACAAACUGAAUUUUUAUAGUUUUAUUUGAUAUUGACCAAGCUUUUUUAUUUUUAUUAUUUAUUUACUCACUGAGCAUCUCUGGCCAAGUUAUCUAAGCUGUAGGUUAUCAUAUUCUGCAUGCAGUUACCUUC
RNA transcript from Vitis riparia (riverbank grape), 1471 nucleotides. RefSeq lists it as uncharacterized. Lineage: Eukaryota; Viridiplantae; Streptophyta; Magnoliopsida; Vitales; Vitaceae. The transcript has 7 exons. The record is from RefSeq and is a predicted model, not a curated record.